This 67-nucleotide transfer RNA is filed under the name Phyllostomus discolor (pale spear-nosed bat). Its description in RNAcentral is "tRNA-Pro". The record is from RNAcentral. Lineage: Eukaryota; Metazoa; Chordata; Mammalia; Chiroptera; Phyllostomidae.
CAAGGAGUAGUUUAUGCAGAAUUUCAGCUUUGGGUGUUGAAGGUAGGGCUUAAUGCCUUCUCCUUGA